Molecule: ribosomal RNA, 468 nt
Filed under: uncultured bacterium
Lineage: Bacteria
Description: partial 16S ribosomal RNA
Rfam family: Bacterial small subunit ribosomal RNA
Source: RNAcentral
GACGAACGCUGGCGGCGUGCUUAACACAUGCAAGUCGAACGGAAAGGCCCUGCUUUUGUGGGGUGCUCGAGUGGCGAACGGGUGAGUAACACGUGAGUAACCUGCCCUUGACUUUGGGAUAACUUCAGGAAACUGGGGCUAAUACCGGAUAGGAGCUCCUGCUGCAUGGUGGGGGUUGGAAAGUUUCGGCGGUUGAGGAUGGACUCGCGGCUUAUCAGCUUGUUGGUGGGGUAGUGGCUUACCAAGGCUUUGACGGGUAGCCGGCCUGAGAGGGUGACCGGCCACAUUGGGACUGAGAUACGGCCCAGACUCCUACGGGCGGCAGCAGUGGGGAAUAUUGCACAAUGGGCGGAAGCCUGAUGCAGCAACGCCGCGUGCGGGAUGACGGCCUUCGGGUUGUAAACCGCUUUCGCCUGUGACGAAGCGUGAGUGACGGUAAUGGGUAAAGAAGCACCGGCUAACUACGUG